This 1724-nucleotide ribosomal RNA is filed under the name Proteus mirabilis. RNAcentral's name for it is "partial 23S ribosomal RNA". It matches the Rfam family "Bacterial large subunit ribosomal RNA", at positions 1223 to 2925 of the family's 2925-position model. Lineage: Bacteria; Pseudomonadati; Pseudomonadota; Gammaproteobacteria; Enterobacterales; Morganellaceae. The record is from RNAcentral. RNAcentral also lists the same sequence under 2 other names.
GUUGGGUAGGGGAGCGUUCUGUAAGCCUGCGAAGGUGUACUGUGAGGUAUGCUGGAGGUAUCAGAAGUGCGAAUGCUGACAUAAGUAACGAUAAUGCGGGUGAAAAACCCGCACGCCGGAAGACCAAGGGUUCCUGUCCAACGUUAAUCGGGGCAGGGUGAGUCGACCCCUAAGGCGAGGCUGAAAAGCGUAGUCGAUGGGAAACGGGUUAAUAUUCCCGUACUGGUGGUAACUGCGAUGGGGGAACGGAGAAGGCUAGGUUGUCCGGGCGACGGUCGUCCCGGUUCAAGCAGGUAGGCAGAGUGAUUAGGCAAAUCCGGUCACUUAAUGCUGAGAUGUGAUGACGAACCACCAAGGUGGUGAAGCAAUUGAUGCCCCGCUUCCAGGAAAAGCCUCUAAGCUUCAGGUUACCAACAAUCGUACCCCAAACCGACACAGGUGGUCAGGUAGAGAAUACUCAGGCGCUUGAGAGAACUCGGGUGAAGGAACUAGGCAAAAUGGUGCCGUAACUUCGGGAGAAGGCACGCUGGCGGUAGGUAAAGUCCCUUGCGGACGGCGCUGAAGCCAGUCGAAGAUACCAGCUGGCUGCAACUGUUUAUUAAAAACACAGCACUGUGCAAACACGAAAGUGGACGUAUACGGUGUGACGCCUGCCCGGUGCUGGAAGGUUAAUUGAUGGGGUCAGCCGUAAGGCGAAGCUCCUGAUCGAAGCCCCAGUAAACGGCGGCCGUAACUAUAACGGUCCUAAGGUAGCGAAAUUCCUUGUCGGGUAAGUUCCGACCUGCACGAAUGGCGUAAUGAUGGCCAGGCUGUCUCCACCCGAGACUCAGUGAAAUUGAACUCGCUGUGAAGAUGCAGUGUACCCGCGGCAAGACGGAAAGACCCCGUGAACCUUUACUAUAGCUUGACACUGAACAUUGAGCCUUGAUGUGUAGGAUAGGUGGGAGGCUUUGAAGUGUGGACGCCAGUCUGCAUGGAGCCAACCUUGAAAUACCACCCUUUAACGUUUGAUGUUCUAACCUAGGCCCAUAAACUGGGUCGGGGACCGUGUCUGGUGGGUAGUUUGACUGGGGCGGUCUCCUCCUAAAGAGUAACGGAGGAGCACGAAGGUUGGCUAAGCAUGGUCGGACAUCAUGCGGUUAGUGCAAAGGCAUAAGCCAGCUUGACUGCGAGAGUGACGGCUCGAGCAGGUACGAAAGUAGGUCUUAGUGAUCCGGUGGUUCUGAAUGGAAGGGCCAUCGCUCAACGGAUAAAAGGUACUCCGGGGAUAACAGGCUGAUACCGCCCAAGAGUUCAUAUCGACGGCGGUGUUUGGCACCUCGAUGUCGGCUCAUCACAUCCUGGGGCUGAAGUAGGUCCCAAGGGUAUGGCUGUUCGCCAUUUAAAGUGGUACGCGAGCUGGGUUUAGAACGUCGUGAGACAGUUCGGUCCCUAUCUGCCGUGGGCGUUGGAAGAUUGAGAGGGGUUGCUCCUAGUACGAGAGGACCGGAGUGAACGCACCACUGGUGUUCGGGUUGUCAUGCCAAUGGCAUUGCCCGGUAGCUAAGUGCGGAAGAGAUAACCGCUGAAAGCAUCUAAGCGGGAAACUUGCCUCGAGAUGAGUCUUCCCUGUCGCUUUAAGUGACCUAAAGGAACGUUUAAGACUAAGACGUUGAUAGGCUGGGUGUGUAAGCGUAGCGAUACGUUGAGCUAACCAGUACUAAUGAACCGUGAGGCUUAACCUG